RNAcentral lists this ribosomal RNA (427 nucleotides) under uncultured bacterium. RNAcentral's name for it is "partial 16S ribosomal RNA". It matches the Rfam family "Bacterial small subunit ribosomal RNA", at positions 355 to 774 of the family's 1533-position model. The record is from RNAcentral.
UAGGGAAUAUUGGACAAUGGGCGAAAGCCUGAUCCAGCCAUGCCGCGUGUGUGAAGAAGGUCUUCGGAUUGUAAAGCACUUUAAGUUGGGAGGAAGGGCAUUAACCUAAUACGUUAGUGUUUUGACGUUACCGACAGAAUAAGCACCGGCUAACUCUGUGCCAGCAGCCGCGGUAAUACAGAGGGUGCAAGCGUUAAUCGGAAUUACUGGGCGUAAAGCGCGCGUAGGUGGUUUGUUAAGUUGGAUGUGAAAUCCCCGGGCUCAACCUGGGAACUGCAUUCAAAACUGACUGACUAGAGUAUGGUAGAGGGUGGUGGAAUUUCCUGUGUAGCGGUGAAAUGCGUAGAUAUAGGAAGGAACACCAGUGGCGAAGGCGACCACCUGGACUAAUACUGACACUGAGGUGCGAAAGCGUGGGGAGCAAACA